Molecule: long non-coding RNA, 581 nt
Filed under: Parus major (Great Tit)
Lineage: Eukaryota; Metazoa; Chordata; Aves; Passeriformes; Paridae
Description: lncRNA (ENSPMJG00000011778.1)
Source: RNAcentral
CUGAUCUUCAAGUUCUCUACACACUAAUGCAAGGGAACACCCCUGCCAUCCAAGCUGGUGAUGCCUGAGGGAGAAAGUUUCCAGGACAGGCCAAAGGCAGCAGUGGCAGAGGAGGAGGAAGCCAAGGAUGGAGCAGCAGAAGAGAGACCCCACGGGGAUGGAGGACAAGGAAGGAUAGAUGGGCUUCAGGCCCACAGCAGGAAUCCCUGGGAAGCUUCCAGCAAUGAUGUCUUACUGAAUUGAGAGGACAGCCCUAUGUAAAUGUGCAUGUACAUUCCUGCAGGGAUGUGCACAGCACUGAUCCAGCGUGGUGUGAAGAGAGUGUUGUCUGCACAACCAGAAGCUCACCAGGAUGUUGGCACAUAUUGGAAAAGCUUUUUAACGGUCUUACCCAUUAAUACAUAUUAUACUCAUUUGCUCACAUUCAUACACUGAUUUAAUUACAUGCUAAUUUCUCCAUGUUUAGUAUUGCAAAGGGCUGUGAGGUAGAUAAGCUGGGACUAUGUCAUUUUUAACUAGAGAGAAAAAGGAUUUUCCAUUAGCCAGAGAGAGAGAGAGAGUGAGAUACCUCCAUACUCUAG